RNAcentral lists this ribosomal RNA (490 nucleotides) under uncultured bacterium. RNAcentral's name for it is "partial 16S ribosomal RNA". It matches the Rfam family "Bacterial small subunit ribosomal RNA", at positions 30 to 507 of the family's 1533-position model. The record is from RNAcentral.
AUUGAACGCUGGCGGCAGGCCUAACACAUGCAAGUCGAACGGUAACAGGAAACAGCUUGCUGUUUCGCUGACGAGUGGCGGACGGGUGAGUAAUGUCUGGGAAACUGCCUGAUGGAGGGGGAUAACUACUGGAAACGGUAGCUAAUACCGCAUAACGUCGCAAGACCAAAGAGGGGGACCUUCGGGCCUCUUGCCAUCAGAUGUGCCCAGAUGGGAUUAGCUAGUAGGUGGGGUAACGGCUCACCUAGGCGACGAUCCCUAGCUGGUCUGAGAGGAUGACCAGCCACACUGGAAAUGAGACACGGUCCAGACUCCUACGGGAGGCAGCAGUGGGGAAUAUUGCACAAUGGGCGCAAGCCUGAUGCAGCCAUGCCGCGUGUAUGAAGAAGGCCUUCGGGUUGUAAAGUACUUUCAGCGGGGAGGAAGGGAGUAAAGUUAAUACCUUUGCUCAUUGACGUUACCCGCAGAAGAAGCACCGGCUAACUCCGUG